AUUGAACGCUGGCGGCAGGCCUAACACAUGCAAGUCGAGCGGGGGUAGCAAUACCCUAGCGGCGAACGGGUGAGGAGUGCUUGGGAAUCUGCCUGGUAGUGGGGGAUAACGUUCCGAAAGGAACGCUAAUACCGCAUACGUCCUACGGGAGAAAGGGGGGGAUCUUCGGACCUCUCGCUAUCAGAUGAGCCCAAGCCGGAUUAGCUAGUUGGUGGGGUAAAGGCCCACCAAGGCGACGAUCCGUAGCUGGUCUGAGAGGAUGAUCAGCCACACUGGAACUGAGACACGGUCCAGACUCCUACGGGAGGCAGCAGUGGGGAAUAUUGGACAAUGGGCGAAAGCCUGAUCCAGCCAUGCCGCGUGUGUGAAGAAGGCCU
This 377-nucleotide ribosomal RNA is filed under the name uncultured bacterium. RNAcentral's name for it is "bacterial SSU rRNA". It matches the Rfam family "Bacterial small subunit ribosomal RNA", at positions 30 to 417 of the family's 1533-position model. The record is from RNAcentral.